Non-coding RNA from Conger conger (European conger), 270 nucleotides. RefSeq annotates it as small Cajal body-specific RNA 6. The transcript has a single exon. Lineage: Eukaryota; Metazoa; Chordata; Actinopteri; Anguilliformes; Congridae. The record is from RefSeq and is a predicted model, not a curated record.
GGUCUGUGAUGUGUACUGUAAAAGGUCUGAUGCCUGAGUGUCCCCCAGCUUCCCUUCAGCUCCCAGAAGCCCCUGCUCUGUUCCCAGCAUGCUCUAGGUGCGUGAUGUUGGGUUCAGGGGCUUCUGACAGAUGGGAUGACCUCUCAGCCUGUGUCUCCUCGAGAAUAAGAGGUCACAGUGAUGAUGGACAUCCAACAUAGCCAAUUGCCAAGGAGUAUUUGGGUCUGGGAUGGGAACGAGCAAAUGAUCUCAAGUUUUCAAGCUGAGACC